UCUCCGUUGGUGAACCAGCGGAGGGAUCAUUACCGAGUUUACAACUCCCAAACCCAAUGUGAACGUUACCAACCUGUUGCCUCGGCGGGGUCACGCCCCGGGUGCGUCGCAGCCCCGGAACCAGGCGCCCGCCGGAGGAACCAACCAAACUCUUUCUGUAGUUCCCUCGCGGACGUUAUUUCUUACAGCUCUGAGCAAAACUUCAAAAUGAAUCAAAACUUUCAACAACGGAUCUCUUGGUUCUG
RNAcentral lists this unclassified non-coding RNA (245 nucleotides) under plant metagenome. RNAcentral's name for it is "partial contains small subunit ribosomal RNA, internal transcribed spacer 1, and 5.8S ribosomal RNA". The record is from RNAcentral.